Molecule: long non-coding RNA, 514 nt
Filed under: Ananas comosus (pineapple)
Lineage: Eukaryota; Viridiplantae; Streptophyta; Magnoliopsida; Poales; Bromeliaceae
Description: long non-coding RNA (ACOM_LNC002247)
Source: RNAcentral
UAUAGCUAGGCUCCUAUACUUUCGAAAGUACGGGGAUCUCCGAUUCGUCGAUCGGUUCCAUUAGAUAUGAUCUACACUAUUGGAACUAUCUAGAAACCAAAUUUUAUAAUUUUUUAACUUCGUUUGCCUAGUGAACAAGUAGCCUAAAAAUGAACGGCUGAAAAUAAAAAUCUCAUAAAAAAUAAUGAUAAAGGACUCAAAUUUUAAAUCGGAAAUAUUGAUCUUGCUAUUGACGUUAAGUAGAAUUUUCUAUUAAAUUUUCAUGUAAUUUGGAUAUUUCUACACCGUUGAACUUAAAAACGUGCCGCAUCGGCCGUUAAAAUAGUCAUUUUUGGGACCUUUUGAUCGCUUAGUAAAUGAUGUCAAAAAAUUAUAAAAUUUGGUUUCUAAAUAGUUCCAAUAGGGUAGAUUAUAUCUAACGGAGCCGAUCGUUGAAUCGGAUGUCCUAUUAUCGAAAACAACUUACAAAUACGGAUGUCCCGGUGCUUUCGAAAGUGUAGUAGACGGACUAUAU